Molecule: ribosomal RNA, 460 nt
Filed under: uncultured bacterium
Lineage: Bacteria
Description: partial 16S ribosomal RNA
Rfam family: Bacterial small subunit ribosomal RNA
Source: RNAcentral
CCUACGGGAGGCAGCAGUGAGGAAUAUUGGUCAAUGGACGAGAGUCUGAACCAGCCAAGUAGCGUGAAGGAUGACUGUCCUAUGGGUUGUAAACUUCUUUUAUAUGGGAAUAAAAUGUUCCACGUGUGGGAUUUUGUAUGUACCAUAUGAAUAAGGAUCGGUUAACUCCGUGCCAGCAGCCGCGGUAAUACGGAGGAUCCGAGCGUUAUCCGGAUUUAUUGGGUUUAAAGGGAGCGUAGGUGGAUUGUUAAGUCAGUUGUGAAAGUUUGCGGCUCAACCGUACAAUUGCAGUUGAAACUGGCAGUCUUGAGUACAGUAGAGGUUGGCGGAAUUCGUGGUGUAGCGGUGAAAUGCUUAGAUAUCACGAAGAACUCCGAUUGCGAAGGCAGUUCACUGGACUGCAACUGACACUGAGGCUCGAAAGUGUGGGUAUCAAACAGGAUUAGAUACCCGUGUAGUC